AUAUUUUUGUUACCUUUUGCAGGUGGACAUAUUUAGAAUUGAAGCAGUAAAUAUUGGUCUUUUGCAAGCCUUGAAUGUGGAAAAAGGAAAAGGUCCUGACUGGCAACUGGAGAAAAUUGCCAUAAGAGAGGCAUCAGUAGUAGGAAAAGAAAUAGUGUUUCUAGCCCAUAAAUGGCUCAAAAGUGGAAGAAACCCAUCAGUUACAUUGAAUAUUACAGAAAUUGAGGAAAUCGGGCAUGUGAAUGCCUUGCCACCAGGAAGCCAGCAAAUGAAGUCAGGUAAUCCUCAUGCCACUGUAGUCAAUUUAAAUACAAC
RNAcentral lists this long non-coding RNA (315 nucleotides) under Sarcophilus harrisii (Tasmanian devil). RNAcentral's name for it is "lncRNA (ENSSHAG00000031895.1)". Lineage: Eukaryota; Metazoa; Chordata; Mammalia; Dasyuromorphia; Dasyuridae. The record is from RNAcentral.